Molecule: ribosomal RNA, 314 nt
Filed under: uncultured bacterium
Lineage: Bacteria
Description: bacterial SSU rRNA
Rfam family: Bacterial small subunit ribosomal RNA
Source: RNAcentral
AAUCAACGCUGGCGGCGUGCCUAACACAUGCAAGUCGAACGCGAAAGCCCCUUCGGGGGUAAGUAGAGUGGCGUCCGGGUGAGUAACACGUAGGUAAUCUACCUUCGGGUGGGGAAGUAACUCGCCGAAAGGCGAGCUAAUACCGCAUAAUGCAGCGGCACCUAAUGGUGAUUAGUUGUUAAAGCGGGGGAGUCGUAAGACCUCGCGCCUGAAGAGGAGCCUGCGGCAGAUUAGCUAGUUGGGAGGUAAUGGCUCACCAAGGCUUCGAUCUGUAGCUGGUCUGAGAGGACGGCCAGCCACACUGGCACUGACAC